UUCAUGAAAUUAUAUUCAAACAGACAUGGUAAAACCAAAUCAAAUAACAUAAUCCAAAGUCAAGAAGAGUACCUUGAUGUAGCAGUACAACAAUGAGAAACAACAAUAAGAAACUGGAACUGAGCCUAGCAAUGAAGGAAAUCAGCAGCAGAAGAGUUUAAAGGCAAAGAUAAAGUAAGCACUGUGAGGGAUUUUUGCCCAUUUGAAACUUCAUUAGAAGCAUUUUUUGAAAAACUGUCUGACCGAACCUUGCUUCAAAGAUUGCCUAUAUAUCCUUCGCUAUAAAUGAAUCAGGUCAAGUAUUGUUCAGAAGUGGACGAAGUGAUGGAGUACCGAGGCUGAGAUUCGAGUGAGGUUCCGUGCGAGGCUCCAGUUCGUUGUCCCGUUAUUACAGCAAAAUCAAAAUUGAAAACGACUAACUAAGCCUAUCAGCUACGAGUUACAAGAUUCCUAUCUAAGAGUCUUCUGAAACUUGAUCUUGAGUCUUGGUUGGUGCUUCAUGUGGACCCUGAUCUGAUUCUUGAUGCUUGUUAGCCGCAGGUGUUUGUUCAAUUUUCUUCAGCUUUUGGAUCAAGACCGUACAUGUAGUGCUCAUGACUUCCACCACAUCUUGAGAAGUUCACAUAUUUCCCAGCUUCAGAAUUUUGAAGCUCACUUCUUUUGUUCUUUUUUCCCUUUUCUUUAUUUUGGAUUGAGACUCAUACUUUCUGUCAUCUCGAAUCGUGUGCCUCGAAGUCAAACCUACUCAAGCACGUUGAACCAUUUUCCUUUCAAACUUGAACCAUCUUUCUUCAAAAAUGAUUUCCCUUGAAACUUGAGUUGUCUUCCGUUGACACUACUUUCCCUUGAAACUUGAGUUGUCUUCCCUUAUUCUCUAGGCGAAAUCUAUUGUUGCAUUUUGAAUUGUAAACUGAGAUGUUUUCCCUUCUUCAUAUUACUGAAUUUGAAUGUAUUCCUCUGUUAUCCAGGCGGGCUCCUAACUUCAUAAAAAUAGACAAAACAAAGAAAACAUUCCACCCCAGUUUGAAAACUGGGUACAUGUUACUGGAUAUUAAUAAGAAUUUGAUUAAAACUUGACUUGAAAUACCUCUGUCACAUAGGCGAGCUCCUGACUUCGGAAACUUGAAUUUUAUGGCUUCGUUCUUCAGGCGGGAUCCUGAUUGCUGAAUUUUAAAUUGCAUGUAUUCCUCUAUUAUCCAGGCAGGCUCCUGACUUCACAAAACAGACAAAACAAUGAAAACUUUCUGUCCCAGUUUGGAAAACUGGGUGUUUGUUACCACAUACUAAACUUGAAUUGUGAUAAGACUGAAAUGCAACUUUUUUUAAAAAAAAUAUUUAACGGCUGAAAUUUAUCUUAAAAUUUAAAAUUUAUCGUAGGUGAAAAAUUAUCAGACUAAGAUUUUCAUCUGAGGUAAAAGAUUCAACAGACGAAUAUUUUUCUUUUAUUUUAGGUGAAAAAUUCAUCAGACUAAGAUUUUCAUCUUAGGUGAAAGAUUCAACAGACUAAGAUAAAUUUAUCUUAGGUGAAAAAUACAUCAGACUAAGAUUUUCAUCUUAGGAGAAAGAUUCAAUAGACUAAGACUUCUCUAUCUUUGAUCUUAGAUGAAAAAUUCAUCAUACUAAGAUUUUCAUCUUAGGGGAAAGAUUCAACAGACUAAGAUUUUUAUCUUGUAUUUUAGGUGAAAAAUUCAUCACACUAAUAUUUUCAUCUGAGGAUAAAGAUUCAACAGACUAAGAUUUUUAUCGUGAAUCUUAGAUGAAAAUUUCAUCAGACUAAGAUUUCCAUCUUAGGUUAAAGAUUCAACAAACUAAUAUUUUGACUCUAGGAGAUAAUUCAUCAAACUAGGUCCAUUUUUCGACUUUAGAAUUUCUUAAUUUUUCAAAUUCCAACUUCCUUUCUUUUCAAAUUCUGCCUUCCUUUCUUGUUCUGAAAUUACGCGUUUCUUUCUUUUUUCAACUUCUUCCUUCCCCCUUUUUUUUUUCCAAAUUAUGCCUUAUUUUAUUUUUCCAACUUCUGCCUUUCCUUUUUAAAAUUAUACCUUCCUUUCUCUUUUCCAACUUCUGCCUUUCUUCCCUAAUUUUGCCUUCCUUUCUUGUCCUAGCUUCUGGCUUUAUCUUAGGUGAAAGAUUCAUCAGACUAAGAUUUUUAUCUUAGGUGAAAAUUUCAUCAGACUAAGAUUUCUGUAUCUUCAUCAUAGGUGAAAGAUUCAUCAGACUAAGAUUUCUGCAUCUUAGGUGAAAAAUUCAUCAAUAAGAUUUCUCUAUCUUAGGUGAAAGAUUCAACAGACUAAGAUUUAUGUAUCUUAGGUGAAAAAUUCAACAGACUAAGAUUUUAUCUUAACCACUUUCCUCCGAAACUUGUUCUAUCUACCUUGAAUUAUUUUCCUGCUUCCCUAAAAACUGGUGUUGUCCCCCUUCAAAACCCCUACCCUAACAACUAUAUUUCGAUCAUCCGAGAAUUACUUUUCCUAAAACUAGUACUUCUUUCCUGAAAACUACUUCCCUCUUCUUCUUGUAAAAAAAUCCUGUAUUUGACCUUCAUGUUCUUCAAAUGGUACCCGACUUCAAAAAUGAUUUUCAAAACGACAAAAAAUAAUCUGCCCCAUUUGAUAAUCUUCCUGUAGCAUAAACUUUCCAUGCCCCUGUUUCAAAUCAAAGAAAAUUCUAUCAGUUUAAAGCGCAGCGGUUGGUUGUGGUACUCCUGCUGGGAAUAACUUUCCUUUUUCUCCUUUCCAUACUUUGAAUUGCCUGGCCAUCUUUGAAACUUAGCUAAUAAUAUUUGCAUUUCUUGACGACUACCUCUCAAUUAUUACUUCUAUUCUUCUUAUCUGACCCAUACAUUUUUUUUGACAGCUGAUUCUUCUUGAAGAUCUUGCAUUUUACUAAUUAACCACUUUCUCUGUCAUCUGUGUCACCAAAAAACCUUUUCCGUUGUCAAACCGUAUAUCUGAUUUUUGUUACACCGCUCAUGAGCUGGCAUUUUUCGACUUUUGAGUCUUACAUGAAUUCCCAAAUUGCGUCUAUUGCCCCUACAGUAUGUUGUUGCUUCGUAAAUCACAAACCUUAUUCCCUUGACCCUGAAGUCUAUUGCUCAUUCACUUACCCCUUGUCACAGAAAAUAUUUAUUCUUCGUUCAAAACCAAUACCCUCCAUCUGUUUCAUUACUCCUGAACUGACAUCUACUAAACUUUGUGUUUCAUAAGGAUCCCAAAGUAUGUUUAAUAUUACUAGCUUAGUGCUCUAGUUGUUUUUCCUACAUUGGGACCCCAUUUUGUGCAAUUGGAAAGCUGGUGGUAAAUUUUGAAGUCAUUUCUCACUUGUUACGACUAAAAAGACUCAGAAAGGGAAAAUAAACAAAACAGAGGAACGACGUCAAAGGCAAAAGAAAAAGAUUAUUCUGUCAAUCAAUUCUGACGCUCAUCUCUUGUUGUUCCUUUCGCUGUGAAACUUGGCUUUAAUGCUCCACUUAUCCCAUUUGAUUCGCAUUCCUUACUCGGCUUGUAGUGUCCAAAUAGCUUUCACUAACAAACCUCUUUCAUUUGUUCUUUCUCUCAACUUGCCGUCUCCUCAAGGUGCAUCUGAAGGUUUUCACCAAUAAGACUCUCUUAUUAUUAAUUUUCUCAACUUUCAUCGCCGUGCGGUACCUGUGAAGGUUUUCAUCAAUCACGCUCUCUAUUUUUCUUGCUUGGACUGCAGUGUUGCCUUUGACAUGAAUUCCUUUACCUGCUUGACUUGGCAUUUCUCAAAGACUGAUCGGAAGGUCUUUCUUUGGACUGUAAUAUGGCUUUUGGAUGGGGUAAGAAAAUAAAGGUAUAAAAGGCUCAAAACAAUGUCAAAAUGGGUUUAAAGUACAACCUUCGGAAUCCAAUUUCUUUCAACAAUCACCACUUCGGCACCGGUUUCUUGCUUGGGUGCUUUUGGAUUUUUAUUUCGGUAUGACUGAAUCUCAGAGAGGUUGCCUACGUGCCCUUUCGGGAUCAAGUCAAAUGUAGUUCACGCCAUAAAAACUACGUUGUUAUGAUUUUCUUUCUCAUCUUUUCUUUACGUUUUUUUUUUUUGCUUUUUCUUUUUUUCUUUUUUUCUUCAUUUUUUCUUUUCUUUCUUUUCUUCUUUUCUCUUUCUUUCUUUUCUUUCUUCUCUUUUCUUUUCUUCUUUUUUCUUUUCUUUUUCUUUCUUUUCCCUUCUUUCUUGCUUUCUCCUUUUCCUUUCUCCCCUUUUCUUUUUCCAUUUUUCCAUUUGCUUAUCUCCGGCACUUGCAUUUCUUUAAUUGUGCCCUUGAUUCCGAAAGAAGGGUAUGAAAGAAAAAUAAAAAUGGCUCAAAAGGGGUGACAAUGGAAAAAUAUGUUUGGAUAGCUGAACAGGCAUUUGUCAUUUCAACCCUAAUAAUAUGUCAAGUACAAACAAGUACAAUCAGAAUAAAGAAACCAUACACAUCAUCUCCUACCGUAUCGGAAUUGACGGCCAUUUUCACACAUUUUCCUUCUAUAACUGUCAGAUGUAAUUUAUCAUUGGGCCACACUCUUACUCUUAUUACCACGACCGACCCCCCCGUUAAUUUGGCCAACUUGCUUUUGCGGGGAUUUUUAUGAUUUACUUGCCCCGGUUUCACAUGGUUCGGGCGUCAUACAAUCUCACAACGUUAAAAUCUAUUAUUAUUUCCUGAAAUGCCCUUAUCAUCUUUAAAUAGUUUAAAGAUCAGACCGAGAAUUAUGCGUGCAUGUCAUGUCACUAGAGCUAACAGGAAAAGAAAUGUAGAAAGAAAAGAGAACUAAACAAAAAUGACUAGAAAUGGCUAAAAACAGAGAAUGGUAUUAAAUAGAUGGUGAAAGGGUUUAAAAACAAAACAAGCAACACGAACUGGGGCACAAUCCUAAAACAAACCUAGAUAACACUACAUAAGAUAUGACGACUAGACAAAUAAAAGUAUAGAAGGGUUUGAAUCACAAGACAAUAUCCGGAUUACAACCCUGAAAGUAACCCAGAUGACAGAAAUGACAACAAAAUAAACCACCAACACUUCUCUCCAGCUAGCCAAGAGAUGAAGCGUCUUUCCAAUUACCAAGCUCGGCAUCUUAGCCACUGAGCUUUGCAUCAAUAUUUCCAAGACCAUUACCAACUUCAAUAUCAUCAACUUCGGUCAACAAGUUCCCAAGAGGAUUCGCAUGCUCCCUGUCACUAUCAUUAACCACAAUUACCCCUUCUUGAAUCAUUAUUUCUAUUUCCCUUUUCAAAUCCUUACAAUUCUCCACAUUGUACCCCAGAGCAUUGUAGUGAUAUUCACACCUUUUAGAUGAGUCAAAGCUUGUCGCAUGUCGGUCCACCUGAUUUUGAGAAACAAGUGCAAUCAUGUCAUGUUUGUUUUAACUUCUCAAAUAAACUUGCAUAGGACUCAUCUAUUUGUGUAAAAUUAUCUUUCAACUUUUUUUCCCUUCUAUGCCCAUGGCUUGGAUGUGAGUUAUUAGGUACUUGAAAAUGUUGCGAAAGCAGGCGGAUAUUUUGUGACACUCGUGCUCGCUUUCUUGGGUGAUUUUAUGGCUUCUAGAUGUUCUCCUAGGACCUAUUCUCGACCUUGAUAUCAUCAUAAUUUCUUCAUCCCUCUCAUUCGUAUUACCAGAUUCAAUUUGGAGAGCCCGAGCUGCAGAUUUGAGAGUUGUUUGACUUAUAAUUCUGCCCGUCUUAAGACCGUUCUCCACCAUUUCUCCCAUUUUGAUUGCCUCCGGGAAGGAUUUAUCCACUGCUGAUGUCAUGUAUUGAAAAUAGUAUGGCUCUUGAGUCUGUAGAAAGACAGUGAUUAACUCGUGGUCAUCCAUGGGUGGCUUAGCUUUAGCUUCCUGCUCUCUCCAUUUGAUGGCAUAUUACCUGAAACUUUCAGUUGGUUUCUUUUUCAGGUUAGAAAGGGAAAUGCGGUCUGGGGCAAGGUCAAUGUUGUAUUGAAAUUGUUUGACAAAGGCCCGUGACAUGUUGUCCCAGACGUACCAGCAAGAUGUGUCUUGAUCCAAAAAUAAUUCAGAUGCUACUCCCGAGAGGCUUUCCCCAAAAUAAGCUAUUUGAAAAUUUUCAUUUCUUCCCACACCUCUCAAUUGGUUGCAAUACAUUUUCAGGUGGGAUAUGGGGUCUCCAUGUCCAUUAUACCUUUCAAAUUUGUGAACCUUGAAACCAGGCGGCAAGAUCGGAGAACGUGCCUAGAUCUCUGAAGGCAACAGUAUUUUGACCUUCCAUUGCUUGCGUGUUUUUCACCUGUUAUUCUAAUCUUUUCACUCAUUGGGCUAUUUCUUCCUGUACCCUCUUUCGGGCAGGCUUCUCAAUGUUUGCAAGAAGAUCAAAUGAGUAUGAGUGGUACUCGAGAGAGUCAUACUGUUCUUGCUGUGUAGCAAAUUGUGAAUCAUGACAAGGCUUCCCGGCCAUUGGCCCAGGCUUGACGCAUUUUUGUCAUUUGUUGUUUCAGUGUUCUAUUUUCCUCAACCAUAGUAGACCUUGGUUAAUCCUCUAACCCUGAGUCACUUGAGGACUCGUGCAGAUUCAACGUUAGUUAUCAUUUUUCCUUGGAUCUUGUGUUUCCAGCUUAGCACAACCAACCACCUCAACUUUCUUCACAAUUCAAAACAAAACCUGAUAGAAUGGAUUAAGUCGGUCCUAAUUAUUAACAACAUCUUUUUCUUUUUUUCAAUUUUUCUUAUCCAUUUUUUCAUUUUCUUUUGUUGUGGUCGAAUCUUAUGGAGAUUUCCUACGGAUCAUGACCCUGCAUGAAUCUGACCGUGCGUAGUUCAUGCAAAUAAAAGAUAAACGACAAUAAAACAUUUUUUGGAAUUUCUCAUUUUCACGAUAAAAACAAAACUGACAAAUUCCUUCCUCUACUUGCCAAUUUCAACCAAAUGACUAGUUGUGCAAACAUGGCUCCUUCCCAAUUUAAAUGAAUUUUGUGGCUGGGCCGGCUUAUGUUGACCAAAAAUCGAACGGUAUUAACUUGACCACUAAGUCUUUCUCUUUUUCUUCAAAUUAAAAUAAAAGACUUGAUUUUGAAAACACGGCCUCUCAGCACCUUGGGGGCGAAGAGUUUAAGGCUGUGUUAGCUAACUGGUCAAAAAUCAAAAUUGACCAAAAUAGCCAUGUUUGCAAAGUCAGCCUUCCGGCGUCCCUUUCGGGAACAUUUUACUAUUUAUGACAAAACGGCGUCACCUGAUUUAUUCCUGGCGCAAAUAAAUUUUUUGACAUUUUGGCUAUUUUGCAAAGGAAAGGUUGGACCUGAUGAGGGCUUCACGCCCUGUGAUAAUCAAACCUGCGUAGUUCGGGAAAAUACACUAACUAUCUUAAAACAAGACUCUUUUUAUUUUCAUUUGUGGCAUUCUAUAAGCAAAUAAAAUAAUACUACUUUCAAAAGCAAGACUCUUUUUCGUUUUUCAUUUUGACACUUCAUAAGCAAAUAAAAUAAAAACCACUUUUAAAAACAAAACUUUUUUUUUUUCAUUUUCACUUUGAUGGCAAGACAAGUUAUUUUCUUUUCUAUUUUUGCAAAACAAGACCAAAUAAUGACUCUCUUUUUCUUUUUAUUUUCAGCAAACAAUAAAACGACCUAGUUUUACCCAGACCAAAAUAAAGACUCUUUUCUUUUUUUUUUUUUUUUCAAAAACCAACUCUCCAAAAAUAAAACAAAAACUUAUUUUUCUAUUUUUUCUUUUCUUUUUAGUAAAAAAAACUACAAAAAAAAAACCUUUUUUAUUCAUUUUCACAAAAUUUUGGCAGAGUUUCGACGGUAUUUGGGCAUUGGUUUUUAUAAAACUAAGAAAUUAACUCUCCACACUGCUAUUUUUCUCUUUUUCUCUUUUUCUCAAGCUUAAAAUACUCACGAUAUUCAAAAGCUGGUCAGCAUGCAUGCCCGAAACAAAUAAACGCACGGAAAACAAAUAGGAUGCGUCAGGAUGGUCUUUUUCAUUUCAGGUUGCUAGUCCUAGACGGACCCAACCCCUGUGUUGAGUCCCCUAAGUCAAAUGCAACGUGAUGCAAAUAAGCGUUCCUAGUAAGGAUAUGGCAUGAAGUCAAGUUAUUCAAUGUUCAAAACCUGGGUCGGUGUUCUAGACAGUGUGCUCGAGUGGACAACUCGAAUUGAGGAAGGGACAACGUACUGGGGACCCGCGAGAUCGUCCGGCUUUGCAACUUAUCCGGCCUCUUUCUUAUUUCAGGGUAUGACACUAACAUAAUAGGGAGCUCAACCAGUAAGCACAUCCCUGGAGGUGAAGAGAGAAGGGUGCCGGCAUAGUUUAUAUACAGUUCAAAUAAUAUCAAAGCGGUAAUAUUUAGCACAUUAAGCAUGUAGCAUGUACAAAAUAAGAUAAAACCCAAAUACAACAAUUUAUCUAAGCUCGAAUUCUGAACCCUGAACCAGAGAUUCUGGGUUCUUAUCCCCAGCAAAGUCGCCAGAGCUGUCACACAUCCUUUUUUACUAUACACCCCCGCAAAGGAGCGUAAGGAGUUUUUAAACUUAAAGGACAAUCGGAACGGGAUUUGGUUAUUAAUUAUUUCAGAGUCGCCACUUUGAAGAUUAAUGGUCUCCCAAGUAACUGGUUAAAUCCCGAACCGAGGAAAAAUAUGACUAUGUUACAGUCAGCGAACCAAAAAACCGAGUAAGGAAUUCUGUUAACCCGGGAGAAAGUGUUAGGCAUUCCCGAGCUCCGUGGUUCUAGCACGGUCGCUUUACGGUUGCAUUUGUUUUUAUCUGAUUUUAAUACAUGCUAGCUUAUGUGCCUUUUAUUCGUAAACCGCUUUUUAUUUUUACUUAUUUUAAAAGAAUUGCGACGUUGUGAAAAUGCGUUUUGAACCACGUCGCAAUCAAUGCACUCGUGGUUGUCAAAACAUUUCGACUUCGUCGAGAUUUGAAUUUGGGUCGCAUCAAUGCGUACCCGAGUGUAAGGAAGUAACAUUAUUAAACUAUCGCGCCAAAGGCAAUUUCGCAUUUUCAACUUUGCGAAGGCCAUAAAAUUUACUAAAUGGCACGCCUCGAGUUUUAAGAAUAAACAAAAUUAAUUAAAAUGAGGGUAAUGCAAUUGUCAUUUUGGUUUGAUACGACGCAUCUCAAACAGAGAAAGAAAUAGCUACUAUGUACAAAUGUAAGUUGCUGCUUGUUUUUAUGGCCAAGAAAUAGUGCAUGAAUGACAAUAUAAAUAAAAUAUUGAAAGCAAAUUUUCGAAAGUGUUACUUAGCACGUUUAUGCCCAAACAAUAUCAAUUGAUGUCAAUUACCAAUAGAAGACCAUCGUUAUCUUGUUUACAUUGCAUUCGAAUCGCAAAAUAGCCAAAACUCAAUAAUCAUAGCCAUUACAUGAUUUGAAUAUUGUGACACGAAUGAGUUCAUAUUCAUAUCCAAAUCUUCACGUUGUUAGAUAACUAAAUUACAAAUAAACAUCAUCUUCAAAACUUGAAUUUACAUUUCAUAACUAACUAGUACUGGAACAGUCAGCUAAGCCUUUUAAUUCAAAUCUGCCGAUUACAAGGGACAUUCUCCUAUUUUUGGCUUCGAAAUUCACUGAUAUGACAAAUUAGUGGUCAUAUUCGAAAUUCACAGCCACAUGACUACUAAUAACAAGGGUUGGGAUAGCAUUUAAAUUAAGUUCAUGCUAAUAUAAACAUAGCACGCAAAUUAAUGAUUGUAACCACUACCUCAAUAAAGAAGAACAUGUAGUUUCAUGAAAUUAUAAUCAGACAGACAUGGUUAAACGAAAUCAAAUAACAUAAUCCAAAGUCAAGAAGAGUACCUUGAUGUAGCAGCACAACAAUGAGAAACUACAAUAAGAAACUAGAACUGGGCCUAGCAAUGAAGGAAAUCGGCAUCAGAACCUCAAGCCAUCCAACUCGGUUAUUCAGAAAAAUCUAGAAGUGCAAGGAGAAAAUCGAGAGUUGUGACCCACUUCAAAAAAUCUUAAUUAUAGCAGCAACAAAUAGGAACAUCCCUUAAAUCCCCUUUUCUUCUGAUUUUUCCCAGAUUUGAAAUUUUAAUUGGCAACUUACUCUCUUCACAAGUUCAAGCGUGUGUGUAGAUCGUCCGUUUUUUUUUGGAGUUUUUCUCGUGUCC
This 10062-nucleotide long non-coding RNA is filed under the name Nicotiana benthamiana. RNAcentral's name for it is "long non-coding RNA (NBEN_LNC039151)". Lineage: Eukaryota; Viridiplantae; Streptophyta; Magnoliopsida; Solanales; Solanaceae. The record is from RNAcentral.